AUUGAACGCUGGCGGCAGGCCUAACACAUGCAAGUCGAACGAGUGGCGGACGGGUGAGUAAUGUCUGGGAAACUGCCUGAGGGAGGGGGAUAACUACUGGAAACGGUAGCUAAUACCGCAUACCAUCGGAUGUGCCCAGAUGGGAUUAGCUAGUAGGUGGGGUAAAGGCUCACCUAGGCGGCGAUCCCUAGCUGGUCUGCGAGGAUGAACGGCAACACUGGAAGUGAGAUACGGUCCAGAUUCUUACGGGAGGCAGCAGUGGGGAAUAUUGCACAAUGGGCUCAAUCCUGAUGAAGCCAUGCCGCGUGUAUGAAGAAGGCCUUCUGGUUGUAAAGUAUUUCCAGCUGGGAGGCGUUACCCGCAGAAGAAGCACCGGCUAACUCCGUGCCAGCAGCCGCGGUAAUAC
This 406-nucleotide ribosomal RNA is filed under the name uncultured bacterium. RNAcentral's name for it is "partial 16S ribosomal RNA". It matches the Rfam family "Bacterial small subunit ribosomal RNA", at positions 30 to 526 of the family's 1533-position model. The record is from RNAcentral.